UUAUCAGACUUGUUACAAGGUUGUCCUGACAAGUCUGAUGCAGUCACGAUAUAACAAGAAUGUCACAAGGUUGUAACAAUACUGCUAUAUCAUGACUGGAUCGGACUUGUUGGAACAACCUUGCAACAAGUCUGAUAA
Non-coding RNA from Paramuricea clavata, 138 nucleotides. Lineage: Eukaryota; Metazoa; Cnidaria; Anthozoa; Malacalcyonacea; Plexauridae. The record is from the annotation of a GenBank genome assembly.